AAUAGACCCAAACUUAUAUGUAGCCGAUUGAAAUAAUAUUAAAAGAUACACGGGACAAAAUGCCACCGAAAGCAACCAAGUCUGGACAACAAUCGAAGUCACCGACUCAAGUUGAAGGAGAUAGCCGAGAGCAGACUAGCAAACAUGGCGAUGAGGUACAGAGCGCGGCUACAAACGAAGUCAUUUUAAGUGCAAUUAACUCUUUGAGGGCGGACCUUUCUAAGCAAUCUACCGAAAUGCUAGAUGCUAUAAAAAGCAUACAAUCCGAUUUGGUGGCUCAGUCGAAAAGAAUUGGGGAAACUGAGGAGAGAAUUUCGCAAACCGAGGAAGACGUCACAGCUCUUCAGCAUAAAGUUAAACAACUGGAAGGAGUAACUUCAUUUUUGCGCAAUAAAGUUCAGGAUCUGGAAGAUCGCGGAAGGCGCUCCAACUUGCGACUGGUGGGCCUACCUGAAAAGGCAGAAGGCUCGGACACAUGCGCUUUCCUUGAAAAUUGGCUUCCAAACCUUUUAACCGGCACUUUCGACUGUGCGCCGGUUAUUGAACGAGCUCACCGGAUCGGACAAAUUAAUCCUAACCGCCCAACAGCUUCGAGACCGAUUGUAAUGAAAUUUCUGAAUUACAAAGAUAAAGAAAAAUCUUUGAGAGCAGCUAGAAGGCUUAAAGAGCUACGGUAUGAAGGACAACGAGUCAGCCUGUUCCCGGACCUGUCAACUGAGACACGACAGCGACAGCGACAGUUCGACAGUGUGAAAGCCCAGCUCAGAGACAAGGGAAUCCCCUACGGCAUGAUAUAUCCGGCCAACCUGAUAGUCACACACGCCGAUCGGCGCCACAUUUUUAAAUCCGUCUCUGAGGUAGAGGACUUUAUUCGGUCAGUGCAAGCUACAGGUUGAACGCUGUGAUGCAGGAAUCGGAUGACGAACUUGAACCCUAACGGUGAUUCAUUUAGGCGAAGACUUCUAAAGCUAUACAGAUCCACUUUGGGAACUGGAAACCCUUAAAGCUCACCUUCACCUGGAAAUGAGAGAAUGGGUAUAUGGUCUCGGUGACUUGACAGAGGAUGCUACCUAUGGGCUCAACAGUCUCAUCAAACGGGGGUCACUCAGAAGUCAACACAGACAGACUGUAAAUGCAAACAGCAGUAUAGGCGCUUUCGAUUACAUUGAGCACAGGACUGGUGCACUUAAGAUGUGUCCUAAAUAAACCUGCCUUGCUUUUAUAUUAAACAGCCCUUUUUAUGAAGUGAUUUACAGUUUAAGGGAAUUGUCAUCAGAAACCCAACUGUUAGAAAAUAGUGCACUUAGAUUUUUACAUUUCAAACCAAAGCUACUAAGUGUUUUCACCCAUAGCUUAGAGAUAAUAAAGAGCCACAUAUCUUCAGGAAAGUAUUGACAAUAUAAAUAAUGGCACUUUGCUAAAAUGUUCAGAUUAUGUAUUGUUAUUAGAAACAAGGACAAAAUACUAACUAUGUGUGAAGGUCUUAUCCUUUCCAGCACUUUUAUACAAUGUCAAUUAUAUCAUAAAAGUUUUUAAGAUAUAUUUACCUGCCUUCAUUCUUAAAUUCAAAACUCAAAAAUGAAACAAGAUAUCAGCCUGACUGGCAUCACCAAGUAGCAGAUUAAUAAUGUUAAAAGUAAUUUUGAAUGUUAUUACAAUGCAUUACCGGUAUUUUGCUUUAAAUAAAUCAUUGUUAUUUUUUGCAUGUAAAAAAUCUGAUGAAGUACAUUAAUUACAAUGUACUUUACUUCAAUAUUUCCAUAUUAUACUUUGUGUAUGUAUGUAAGCUAUGUAUGCAAUAUGUAUAUACUGUUUGUAGUUUCAGCAUACUUGUUAAUGAACACCAUCAAAUCGAUAUUAAACCAUACAUGUUUUUCUGUUAUGCUUUCCAUAUCGCAUCAUCUAAAUGUACAUCAAUAUAGUCAUAAAUCAUAUCCACUGACAUUCUGUAAAACUGUAUGGAGAAAUAUCUUUCUUUGUCUUGAUGCAU
Carassius auratus (goldfish) is the source of this 1990-nucleotide long non-coding RNA. RefSeq lists it as uncharacterized. NCBI's taxonomy places the organism in Eukaryota, Metazoa, Chordata, Actinopteri, Cypriniformes, Cyprinidae. The record is from RefSeq and is a predicted model, not a curated record. The transcript is spliced from 3 exons.